AUUGAACGCUGGCGGCGUGCUUAACACAUGCAAGUCGAGCGGUAAGGCCCUUUCGGGGGUACACGAGCGGCGAACGGGUGAGUAACACGUGGGUGACCUGCCCUCAGCUCUGGGAUAAGCCUGGGAAACCGGGUCUAAUACUGGAUAUGACUCCAUGACGCAUGUUGUGGGGUGGAAAGCCUUGUGCGGCUGAGGAUGGGCCCGCGGCCUAUCAGCUUGUUGGUGGGGUGAUGGCCUACCAAGGCGACGACGGGUAGCCGGCCUGAGAGGGCGACCGGCCACACUGGGACUGAGACACGGCCCAGACUCCUACGGGAGGCAGCAGUGGAGAAUCUUGCGCAAUGGGCGAAAGCCUGACGCAGCGACGCCGCGUGAGGGAUGACGGCCU
Molecule: ribosomal RNA, 388 nt
Filed under: uncultured bacterium
Lineage: Bacteria
Description: bacterial SSU rRNA
Rfam family: Bacterial small subunit ribosomal RNA
Source: RNAcentral